CCCUUAGAUGUUCUGGGCCGCACGCGUGCUACACUGAGUGGAUCAGCGGGUCAGGUUGCGCGAAAGCGUUUCCUAAUCUUUAAAUCCGCUCGUGAUGGGGAUUGACGGUUGCAAUUUUCUGUCAUGAACGAGGAAUACCUUGUAAGCGCGGGUCAUCAUCCCGCGCUGAAUACGUCCCUGCCCUUUGUACACACCGCCCGUCGCUCCUACCGAUUGAGUGGUCCGGUGAGGCUUUGGGAUCCGAGCGGAAAGAGCGUUUCGCUGUUUCUGCUCGGAAAACUCAGUCGAACCUUAUCAUUUAGAGGAAGGAGAAGUCGUAACA
This 322-nucleotide ribosomal RNA is filed under the name uncultured eukaryote. Its description in RNAcentral is "partial 18S ribosomal RNA". It matches the Rfam family "Eukaryotic small subunit ribosomal RNA", at positions 1470 to 1796 of the family's 1831-position model. The record is from RNAcentral.